AUGACAGGAACGACGUCAAGAGGGAAUAAAGUAUCUAUUCUAGCAUUCGAGGUAGCUAAUACCAUCACCAAAGGUGCAAAUUUAUUGCAAUCUCUUUCCCAAGAAAAUGUUCAGUAUUUAAAGAAGGAAAUUCUACCUUCAAAAGGAGUGCAACAGUUGGUUUCUACUAAUAUGACGGAGGGGUUUAUGACAGGAACGGCAUCAAGAGGGAAUAAAGUAUCUAUUCUAGCAUUCGAGGUAGCUAAUACAAUCACAAAAGGUGCAAAUUUAUUGCAAUCUCUUUCCAAAGAAAAUGUUCAGUAUUUAAAGAAGGAAAUUCUACCUUCAAAAGGAGUGCAACAGUUGGUUUCUACUAAUAUGACGGAGCUGCUUACUAUUGCAGCUGCCGACAAAAGGUUAGCAUUUUGAACAACCACUCCCUACCCCAACACAUACUGAAAGUAAAGUGAAAUGAAACUGGACAAAGUGAGGCAUUUGUGGUAUUGUCAUGCAUCAGUGAGUAUAAGUUUAUAUGUUUUC
This 519-nucleotide long non-coding RNA is filed under the name Nicotiana benthamiana. Its description in RNAcentral is "long non-coding RNA (NBEN_LNC007759)". Lineage: Eukaryota; Viridiplantae; Streptophyta; Magnoliopsida; Solanales; Solanaceae. The record is from RNAcentral.